CCGAUGGCAAAGAACGAGAAGUAAGCACUUAUGUCUGUCGUAGACGUCUGUCGUGGACGUAUGGUAAGGCAGAGAAAAACUGCACAUAUUUGUUCUCCAGAGAACUAAAGUGUAGAAUAACCGUUGCAACAGACGACACCAGGGUUAACGAUCGAAAUAAGCGAUCUAAUUCGGAUAAUAUGAGCGAUCGGCCGCUGAAUAGCGGAUCCUGGAAAUACAAAGACAAUGCUUUCUCAUCGACGUCGCGAACGAAACUACGCUCGUGACGGUACGUGGUACCUGUUCGGCAGGAUCGUGAGAUCAGAAGAAAUUGCGAGGAAAGGCGAGAGCGUAUCGAGGCCGGAUCGGUGAGAAUCGAUUCUAUCGGCCAGACGAUCCGCGCGCAAUGCAGAAGCGAAGAAAUGGUUGGGCGAGAGCGCGUGUAAAAGGUUUCCUCCGCGUUUGUUCUCGUCGCUCGGCCGGAAAAUAAUCGAAAUGAUCGAUGCAUCGCUCGUAUCAUCGCCGGUACCGUUCGCCGACCGACGACGCCGAGGACGCCUUAUCGGUUUUGGUGUGCCGUUUUCUUCCGGCGACCCGUUUCCGGCGACUUCGAUUUAUUACGCGUGCGUGAUCGAGCCUGACCCUCAUCUUUACAGCGGCAAAAAACCCAAACAAAUCGUUGGUGGUCUCGCGCAAUCAGUAUGAAGCAUAAUUUAAAAAAAAUAUGUAUAUAUAAUUCAACAGAAGAGAACUCGCAUUUCUUUCGUACCAAACAUUUUAUAACGUUAUCUCUUGCAAAAUUUUGUGUAAAACAAAAUGUAAAAAAGAGUUUCAUGGAAUAUUAAACAUACUUUUACAAACACA
Non-coding RNA from Linepithema humile (Argentine ant), 843 nucleotides. Lineage: Eukaryota; Metazoa; Arthropoda; Insecta; Hymenoptera; Formicidae. The record is from RefSeq and is a predicted model, not a curated record.